This is a small nucleolar RNA of Arvicanthis niloticus (Nile rat), 126 nucleotides long. RefSeq annotates it as small nucleolar RNA SNORA17. NCBI's taxonomy places the organism in Eukaryota, Metazoa, Chordata, Mammalia, Rodentia, Muridae. The record is from RefSeq and is a predicted model, not a curated record.
CCUAUCCCUACAGGCUUUGUUGUGGCUUGUGUCACAUUGCAUCAGUAGGUGGCAGAGAGGAGAGGGGCUAUAUUUACACCCUGUAUUCUGACCUUUGAGUCUCUGAAUGAUUAGUAGCCUAGUGUU